Non-coding RNA from Arachis ipaensis, 252 nucleotides. Lineage: Eukaryota; Viridiplantae; Streptophyta; Magnoliopsida; Fabales; Fabaceae. The record is from RefSeq and is a predicted model, not a curated record.
CGAGAUGAGGGGAUUUCUGUGAAGCGUGUGGGUUAUGGUUUACACUUAUCGAGGUCUUUUCUUUUUCAGGUUAUGGACGACGAAGUUUGGAAGAGCUUGUUUCUUUUCUGUUUAGACGAUAUUUUGGAUUGUUUUAGUAUUUAUGUUUUCCUCGCCUUUAACUUUGCAAGUUAUGUAAGAGGGAUAGGAGUUGUAUGAUUUGUAUGUAUGUAAUAUGUAUAAGUUACUUGAGUAAGAAGUUUUGUACAUGUA